Molecule: ribosomal RNA, 823 nt
Filed under: Sulfitobacter faviae
Lineage: Bacteria; Pseudomonadati; Pseudomonadota; Alphaproteobacteria; Rhodobacterales; Roseobacteraceae
Description: bacterial SSU rRNA
Rfam family: Bacterial small subunit ribosomal RNA
Source: RNAcentral
AACGUCGGGUCCCGGCAGGCCUUACACAUGCAAGUCGAGCGAGACCUUCGGGUCUAGCGGCGGACGGGUUAGUAACGCGUGGGAACGUGCCCUUCUCUGCGGAAUAGCCACUGGAAACGGUGAGUAAUACCGCAUACGCCCUUCGGGGGAAAGAUUUAUCGGAGAAGGAUCGGCCCGCGUUAGAUUAGAUAGUUGGUGGGGUAAUGGCCUACCAAGUCUACGAUCUAUAGCUGGUUUUAGAGGAUGAUCAGCAACACUGGGACUGAGACACGGCCCAGACUCCUACGGGAGGCAGCAGUGGGGAAUCUUAGACAAUGGGCGCAAGCCUGAUCUAGCCAUGCCGCGUGUGUGAUGAAGGUCUUAGGAUCGUAAAGCACUUUCGCCAGGGAUGAUAAUGACAGUACCUGGUAAAGAAACCCCGGCUAACUCCGUGCCAGCAGCCGCGGUAAUACGGAGGGGGUUAGCGUUGUUCGGAAUUACUGGGCGUAAAGCGCGCGUAGGCGGAUUGGAAAGUUGGGGGUGAAAUCCCGGGGCUCAACCCCGGAACUGCCUCCAAAACUAUCAGUCUAGAGUUCGAGAGAGGUGAGUGGAAUUCCAAGUGUAGAGGUGAAAUUCGUAGAUAUUUGGAGGAACACCAGUGGCGAAGGCGGCUCACUGGCUCGAUACUGACGCUGAGGUGCGAAAGUGUGGGGAGCAAACAGGAUUAGAUACCCUGGUAGUCCACACCGUAAACGAUGAAUGCCAGUCGUCGGGCAGUAUACUGUUCGGUGACACACCUAACGGAUUAAGCAUUCCGCCUGGGGAGUACGGUCGCAAGAUUAAA